Molecule: ribosomal RNA, 269 nt
Filed under: uncultured Planctomycetales bacterium
Lineage: Bacteria; Pseudomonadati; Planctomycetota; Planctomycetia; Planctomycetales
Description: partial 16S ribosomal RNA
Rfam family: Bacterial small subunit ribosomal RNA
Source: RNAcentral
GAGCACGUAGGUGGGUUUGUAAGUCGGAUGUGAAAGCCUUCUGUUCAACGGAAGAAUUGCAUCUGAAACUGCGAGUCUUGAGUGUAGGAGGGGAGAAUGGAACUUCUGGUGGAGCGGUGAAAUGCGUAGAUAUCAGAAGGAACGCCGGCGGCGAAAGCGAUUCUCUGGCCUAUUACUGACACUCAGUGUGCGAAAGCUAGGGGAGCAAACGGGAUUAGAUACCCCGGUAGUCCUAGCCGUAAACGAUGGGCACUAAGUAGAGGGGUUUU